GUAAACGAGAAUAUAGAUUGACGUAGAGAUAUAGUAAUAU
RNAcentral lists this non-coding RNA (40 nucleotides) under Trypanosoma brucei brucei. Lineage: Eukaryota; Euglenozoa; Kinetoplastea; Trypanosomatida; Trypanosomatidae. The record is from RNAcentral.